RNAcentral lists this ribosomal RNA (401 nucleotides) under uncultured bacterium. RNAcentral's name for it is "partial 16S ribosomal RNA". It matches the Rfam family "Bacterial small subunit ribosomal RNA", at positions 359 to 776 of the family's 1533-position model. The record is from RNAcentral.
GAAUAUUGCACAAUGGGCGCAAGCCUGAUGCAGCAACGCCGCGUGCGCGACGAAGGCCUUCGGGUCGUAAAGCGCUUUUCGGGGAGAUGAGCACGGACAGCAUCCCCGGAAGAAGGAUCGGCUAACUACGUGCCAGCAGCCGCGGUAAAACGUAGGAUCCGAGCGUUAUCCGAAUUCACUGGGCGUAAAGCGCAUGCAGGCGGCCGCACAAGUUGGAUGUGAAAUCUCCCGGCUCAACUGGGAGGGGACGUUCAAAACUGUGCGGCUUGAGGGCGGUAGAGGAAGGUAGAAUUCCCGGUGUAGUGGUGAAAUGCGUAGAUAUCGGGAGGAAUACCCGUGGCGAAGGCGACCUUCUGGACCGCUUCUGACGCUCAGACACGAAAGCGUGGGGAGCAAACAGG